This 790-nucleotide ribosomal RNA is filed under the name uncultured bacterium. RNAcentral's name for it is "bacterial SSU rRNA". It matches the Rfam family "Bacterial small subunit ribosomal RNA", at positions 76 to 861 of the family's 1533-position model. The record is from RNAcentral.
UAGCUUGCUACCUGACCUAGCGGCGGACGGGUGAGUAAUGCUUAGGAAUCUGCCUAUUAGUGGGGGACAACAUUCCGAAAGGAAUGCUAAUACCGCAUACGCCCUACGGGGGAAAGCAGGGGAUCUUCGGACCUUGCGCUAAUAGAUGAGCCUAAGUCAGAUUAGCUAGUUGGUGGGGUAAAGGCCUACCAAGGCGACGAUCUGUAGCGGGUCUGAGAGGAUGAUCCGCCACACUGGGACUGAGACACGGCCCAGACUCCUACGGGAGGCAGCAGUGGGGAAUAUUGGACAAUGGGCGCAAGCCUGAUCCAGCCAUGCCGCGUGUGUGAAGAAGGCCUUUUGGUUGUAAAGCACUUUAAGCGAGGAGGAGGCUACUUGGAUUAAUACUCUAGGAUAGUGGACGUUACUCGCAGAAUAAGCACCGGCUAACUCUGUGCCAGCAGCCGCGGUAAUACAGAGGGUGCGAGCGUUAAUCGGAUUUACUGGGCGUAAAGCGUGCGUAGGCGGCUUCUUAAGUCGGAUGUGAAAUCCCUGAGCUUAACUUAGGAAUUGCAUUCGAUACUGGGAAGCUAGAGUAUGGGAGAGGAUGGUAGAAUUCCAGGUGUAGCGGUGAAAUGCGUAGAGAUCUGGAGGAAUACCGAUGGCGAAGGCAGCCAUCUGGCCUAAUACUGACGCUGAGGUACGAAAGCAUGGGGAGCAAACAGGAUUAGAUACCCUGGUAGUCCAUGCCGUAAACGAUGUCUACUAGCCGUUGGGGCCUUUGAGGCUUUAGUGGCGCAGCUAACGCGAU